RNAcentral lists this unclassified non-coding RNA (302 nucleotides) under Hevea brasiliensis (rubber tree). The record is from RNAcentral. Lineage: Eukaryota; Viridiplantae; Streptophyta; Magnoliopsida; Malpighiales; Euphorbiaceae.
AAGGGAGAUGAAUUAAAAGUGAAAGUAAACAAAUUGACAUCAACAAAGACUCAGCUUCCUUACUCGUAUUAUUCACUCCCAUUUUGUCGUCCAGAAAAGAUAUUGGACAGCGCAGAGAAUCUGGGUGAAGUUCUUCGAGGAGACAGAAUUGAAAAUUCCCCCUACGUGUUCAAAAUGCGGGAACCUCAGAUGUGUAGUAUUGUUGGCCGGAUUAAACUCGAUGCUAAAGAAGCAAAGGAGUUCAAAGAGAAGAUCAAUGAUGAAUACCGGGUCAAUAUGAUCUUGGAUAACCUACCCCUGGU